RNAcentral lists this ribosomal RNA (450 nucleotides) under uncultured bacterium. RNAcentral's name for it is "bacterial SSU rRNA". It matches the Rfam family "Bacterial small subunit ribosomal RNA", at positions 29 to 524 of the family's 1533-position model. The record is from RNAcentral.
AACGAACGCUGGCGGCAUGCCUAACACAUGCAAGUCGAACGAACUCUUCGGAGUUAGUGGCGCACGGGUGCGUAACGCGUGGGAAUCUGCCCUUGGGUACGGAAUAACUCAGAGAAAUUUGUGCUAAUACCGUAUAAUGACUUCGGUCCAAAGAUUUAUCGCCCAAGGAUGAGCCCGCGUAAGAUUAGCUAGUUGGUGGGGUAAAAGCCUACCAAGGCGACGAUCUUUAGCUGGUCUGAGAGGAUGAUCAGCCACACUGGGACUGAGACACGGCCCAGACUCCUACGGGAGGCAGCAGUGGGGAAUAUUGGACAAUGGGCGAAAGCCUGAUCCAGCAAUGCCGCGUGAGUGAUGAAGGCCCUAGGGUUGUAAAGCUCUUUUACCCGGGAUGAUAAUGACAGUACCUGGAGAAUAAGCUCCGGCUAACUCCGUGCCAGCAGCCGCGGUAAU